GUGUUUUUCAUUUUGUUUAUAUUUGUAUAGGCGUAUUUGGAGGGGUAAAAGUGGUAUUUCCUGAGCCGCAGCAUGAUCUUUUGAAACACAGGUUCCACAAUGAACUCAUUCAGGUAGAGUGCUCUGAAACACGCCUCCCGUCUCGUUAUUGUUUGUUUGUCAGCUGUUGAAGACGCCACUUUUUGUGCAGAAAAACACUUUUUUUUGCCCUAAAUUGUACUCCCUUCAUUCCAAAAUAGAUGACCCUAUUUUAUACUCUUUCCUAAAUGUAAGUCUUUCUAGAGAUUCCAUUAUGAACCAUAUACGGAUGUAUAUAGACGCAUUUUAGAGUAUAGAUUCACCCAUUUUGUUUCGUAUGUAGUCACUUGUUGAAAUCUCUAUAAUGACUUAUAUUUAGGAACGGAGGAAGUACUAAAUUUAUACUAAAGUUAAUACAAAAUUGGAUCACUUAUUUUGAACGAAGGGAAUACAUGAACAAUUUUUUCAUGCCGUCAAAUAGGGUAAUUAUCAGAAAUGCUCUAACGUACAUAUGCAUGCUGGUAAUGAAAGUUACUUUCCAAUGACCAGCAUAACGCAUGUUUCACGUUUGCAGGGAUUGCGAUCGAAUUGUUUCUUAAGCGUGACGGCUGACAAACAUCCGACGCGGUUAUUGUGAUUACACUAGACGUUUCCUUCGUAAGUACUUCCUUCGUAAAGAAAUAUAAAAGCGUUUUGAUUGCUAUAAAGUACGGAGGAAGUAUUUGUACUCCAAACAGUUGGGUUUUGUACACUACGUGCUGGCACAAUACACUGUCGCAUCUAUUCUAUCAUCGUGUCAUGGAAGCCAAGUUUUUGCGUACCGGUCAGCUCUUUGUACUUGUGUGACAGGUACGACACAUUCGGUUUGCUUAACUCAUUUUGUCGCAAAGACUUUCGCUCCCGAUUUGCUCGUGCACUUCAUUCUUUUUCUUUGUAGAUAGAACACGUGUAUUUGUAGGCGUAUUUUGAAGAUGUGUUGAGUGACAUGAAAGUGACAUUGCGUGAACCGCCAGUCGAUCGGCAGCAUGAUCGAUCAGUGAGCGCAGAUUCCAGAGUGACCCCAUUCGGACUGGGUAGAGUGCUCUGAAACACGCCUCCCGUCCCGCAUCUGCAGAUAUACUUUUUUUAAGAAAAGGUUAAACUCCCGGUCUCUGCAUCAAUCGAUGUAUGCAGUCAUCUUUAUUAAUUAUUCAAUAAAGAUUUAAAAAGCAAAUACGUCAAUUCAUCUGAAGUCAGCACUCACACCUACAAACUCGAUAAUGUAAAGUGCUCUUAUAUCUAAAAUUGGUAUCGUCGUCGAUCCAUGCCGAAACUGGCCGCCGCCGCCCCGCGUCACUGCCGUAGGUCUGGCGGGCAUGGACCGCUGCCCCCCCUAACCGGAUCUGGCUGAGGAGAAACACCGCCGCCACCACUGCCGCACACAGACUUUGCAUGUGAGUCCUCCGGCGGCGGCGGUAGGGGAGAUGGCGUUGGAGAGGACCGGAGGAAGAGGAAGGGGGCGGGGGCGCUACGGUGCGGCGUGGCGGCGCCCCACGGGAGCGGGAGCGGGGUAGGGUUAAGGAGCCAUCUGCAGAUGUCCUGACGUGGCAAUAAUACAGAUGGACGUAACAUGAACGGAUGUUGAUCGUCGUUGAAAAUCAACAUAAUACUAAACUACCAAUGGUCCGCAUCUGGGCAUAGAUCAGACAUGAAUUACUAUUAAAAUGUUGAACCAAGGAAAAGAAAUUACUAAAACGAAAACGACCCGUACGAAGGAUGAUGCUUCCGCCGGUCAACCCUGCGUGCAUGACUCAAUCUGCAAUGCAGUGUGCGAUACGGCAGCACCAGGAACGCUAAUCCCAGUGCAUCUGCAAGCAUUGGCAUCUUCGCAACGAGGCCACAGACCAGUAACUAUUUACUACUAGCAGUAGUAGGACAGUCCUACCGAAGCACCCCGUUUUACAAAUUUGGUUGCCAUGCGUGCGGAAAGAUGAACCAUGUGCCGAAUGCGAUUCAGAUGUUACAGUCUAAUAAUCCCAAGAAAUGCUACGACUAGUUAGUUAGAUGCCUUUUUCUUUCCGAAAGAGUACAACCAUGUCCCUUUUCCCCAUCUUUUCCCCGUGUAGCCAUGUGGAUUCGGAGACUAUUAUCCCUCUCCUUUUCCACUCCCAUUUUCCUUCCCAGUUUGUGUAGUACAAAUCAUCACCAACGGAGCUCCUCCCUCGGUCAAUCCCCUAACCAUCUUCCAUCAUUUUUCCUUCACCCCUCCAAUCUCCUCCACCGAGAAGCUCCCGUCCCCUGCUCCUCGCCUUUCUCCGUCGCAUCAUCACAGAUCCUGUUGCGCACACACAAUACUCUUCUCCCAAUUGACCAUAUCUAUCUACCCAUCCAUCCCAUAGCAUUGCAUCACCUCCACUUCGCUCUCUUUCGCUUCACCUGCGUCUGCGUGAGUGCGUGUCUCGGUCGCCGUCUCCGUUUCCUAGCCGUCGGCCUACCGGCGGCAGAAAAGACAGCAGCCAAGCAAAGCCAGCCCGCUCGCCGCCGCGGACCGCGACGACGACCGUCUCGGGCCGUUCAACCCAAGCCCCGCCCCUGCCCCGCGCGGCCUCGUGUCUUUCCUGCGGCAUUCGUGGUUGGAGUGGUUGGGCGGAGCCCGCCCCCGCCCCCGCCCCGUGCCCCGCCUGCCGAUGGUGACGGCCGCCGGCGUAGCGUGUCGCGGCGCCAUGAAGGGUGAAAUUUUAUAUACCAUCGCCCCGGCUGAGGCCUGACAACCCAACCAGAUUUUAGGUAGUUACCUCUGUCGCUUGCCGCCCGCUGCCCGCCUCCCCCCCUUCGCUCCGCCACAUCUUCCGCCCGCUCGAACUCCUAGCGGUAGGAUAUAUCUGCCGCUUCCCCCUGGCUCCUUGCGCUUGUACUGUAUCUUCCUCCUCCCCGGUCCGUCGGUUCAUCCCCCUCGCCCCCUACUCCCCUUUCGGCUCGAGUUAGAUCAUCCAUCGGCUGUAAAGCGGGCGGGAGGCUUGGCUUCCGCGCGCGGGACGGGGCUCGCUUUCCGGGAGGCCGCCCCUGCGACGACAGCCGCGCCAUUUUCUAUUCCAGCGGAGGGAGGGGGAGGUUCCGGGUCGUAGUGGUGCUGCAUUGGCUGCGGUAAGCGGGGCUCGUAUCGGCCAACGGGGGAGGUCCACGGCGGUUAGUAGUUGAGCCGCCGACUGCGUGCUGUGGCGAGUGUUAUCUAUCGAUCGCCAUGGGGGGCAAGUGUGGUUCCUGGUGAUUCUCUCGAGCUGCCACUGGUGGGGGGAGCAUGGCGGGGGAGGGCGUCGGGCGGUGCAUACUGGUGGGGCUGCACAUGGACGCCGUCGGCAAGGAGCUUCUGCAGUGGGCGCUCAACCAGGCGGCCAGGAGCGGCGACCGCGUCGUCGCCGUCCACAUUUACCGCAAAUCCGGUAGGUACCCUGCCCCCUAUCCCAUCUCCUGUCCGUCAAAAACCUUUGCUUGCGUUGCAGCUCGACUCAUGGCAGCAUUUCCCUGUGCCUCGAAUCGAAGGAGACCUGUGCAAGACGAACGCGCUGACGCUGAUCAGGACGCUGGACGACUACCUGGCGGAGUACGAGGCCAUCUGCAGCAAGAAAGACGUGCGUAAGCAAGCAAGCACGAUGCCUUCACCGCCAUUAAUGUCGCUGGCGGUUGCGCUCAUGUGCUGGUAUUGAUGGUAUGGUUUCAUGUCCGUCAGAUCGUCCUCGUGGGGCGGGUCACGCCGGGGAGCUCGAUCCAGAAGGUGCUGGUGAAGGAGGCCAAGCUCUGCGCGGCCAUGGUGGUGGUGAUCGGCGCCAACAAGAAGUACUCCUUCGGGUCAGUCAGUGCCGAUGCUCACCUCUCACCUCCCAGCAGCAGCAAUCUUGGCGUGAUCCAACUGUUUGUUUUCUGCACGAUUCAUUAACGCACACACCAAAAGUAAUCGAUUAUUUUACCUGUGUGCUCGAUCAGUGGCUCGACCGGCCUCGCCAAGUACUGCGCCAGGAAGCUCCCGGCGACGACCAGCGUCGUCGCCAUCCAGGGCGGCAAGGCCAUCUUCGUCAGGGAGGCCCCCCGGCCGCCACUUGGUCAGUAGAGUACUGACUCCCGAUGUUAGCUGCGAAUUGAUUUCGGUUGGUGAGUGGGUGAUUGAUUGACGGAUUAAAGCGUUGGGUGGCUUCGUUCGUCGUCCUGCAGGAGCAGAGCCCAAGCCGGUGCUCCGCACGCUGCUGCACCCCAGCGUCGGCAUGGAGCCCAAGGUGAUCAUCCCCAACCCCAACCGCCGGAGCGCGCGGUCCAUGGACUUCGACGCCACGGGCUGCGGCCAGUGCGCCGCGCCGCCGCAGCCCAAGAAGCCCUGCGACGACCACGACGCCGCCGACGCCAAGGCCCUCGUCGUGCGCGUGCCGGCGCCAGAGCAGAAGCUCGGCUGGCCUUUGCUCCGGCGCGCGCCUCCCGCAGCGCAGGCCACGACGAGAGACCACGAGACGACGCGCAAGCAGUCGGUGGUGCACUGGGUGAUGAGCCUGCCGCGGCGCUCCUCGCCGUCGGCGUCCCCGGAACCGGCGCAGGAGGGGCUGGCGGCCGAGCUGAGGCGGGCGCUCGCCGGCGCGCCGUCCCGGUGCCGGUGGUUCCGGUACGAGGAGCUGUACGACGCCACGAACCACUUCUCCCCCGGCAACCUGGUGGGCAAGGGCGCGCACAGCCGGGUGUACCGGGGCGGGCUGGCGAGCGGGCAGCGGGUGGCGAUCAAGCUGUGCCGGGCGUCGGCGGAGGCGUCCAAGGACUUCCUCCGGGAGGUGGACAUCAUCACCAAGCUGCAGCACGGCCGCAUCGUGCCGCUCGUCGGCGUCUGCGUGGAAGGCCCCAACCUCAUCUCCGUCUACCGCUACCUCCCCCGCGGCAGCCUCGAGGACAACCUGCACGGUACGCCACCACGCUUGCACACCACGACAAACUACGCUACUGUAUUUUGGCUGCGUCGAUGGUCUACAGCGGCCUUGGGCAUGUGAUUUCGCAGGGAAGAAGAGGUCGAAGCCGGCGCUGCCGUGGGAGAAGAGGUACCGGGCGGCGGUCGGGGUGGCCGAGGCCCUGAGCUACGUGCACUCCGGCUGCUCGCGGCCGGUGAUCCACCGCGACGUCAAGUCCUCCAACAUCCUCCUCACGGACGACUUCGAGCCCCAGGUAGUACUGUGCUCUUAAAUUCAGGAAUAUACAGUUUGUUUGUCUGUGUUUUGUACUGACAGACGUGAACUCUGAACUGUGUACCGACGGUGGCAGUUGUCCGAUUUCGGGCUCGCGAUCUGGGCGCCGUCCAGCCCGUCGUCCCUCACGCACAGCGACGUCGUCGGCACCUUCGGAUACGUCUUCUUCUUGUACACAGACACGGACGAGUCUCUUUCGGUCUGAAGUGGCGCCGUGUUGGGGUGACGAAGAUCAAAAUCCUUGCGGGCGCAGGUACCUAGCGCCGGAGUACUUCAUGUACGGGAAGGUGACGGACAAGGUGGACGUGUACGCGUUCGGGGUGGUGCUGCUGGAGCUCCUCACCGGGCGGAGGCCCAUCACCGGCGACGGCUCACCGAAGGGCCACCACCAAAGUCUCGUCAUGUGGGUAAGCCCUCGCGAUCCCAAUCAAGCCCACAUAACCACCUCACUGUGUUACGUUGUUACCAUAUCAUUGUCUUUAUAAAAAAACGUUGUUAUCAUAUCAUCAUGCUCGUGUAGAGAGAGAGGGGUUGUGCUGACGCGGUUGGUCUGUUUGACGUGCGUGACAGGCGACUCCGAUCCUCAACGGCGGCGACAUCUCCGACCUGCUGGACCCGAGCCUGGACGUGAAGCACGACGAGGUGGAGGUGCGGCGAAUGGGCGUCGCGGCGUCGCUCUGCCUCGGGAGGUCGGCGCGCCUUAGGCCCCCGAUAUCGCAGGUCAGUCUCUCUCUCUUAGUGAGUAGCAGGCUCUUCUUCAGAAGAAGAGGGAAAAUACGUCUCUCUCUAUCUGAGUAGCAGGCACUUCAUCUUCAGAAGAGGAAAAAAUAACAUUCUCGUGCCGAUUGCUGUGUGUUGCAGAUUCUGAGCAUACUACGAGGAGAAGAGGACGCGACGAGCUUGGCGGCGUCGGAGCCGGACUGCGUGGUGGACGACGAGACCUACCCGGCGGCCAACGUGAGGUCGCACCUAGGGCUGGCGCUGCUGGACGUGGAGGACGCCGAGUCCAUCUCCAGCACCGAGCACACCAACCUCAGCCCGCUCGAGGAGUACCUCAGAGAACGCUGCAGCCGAUCAUCCAGCUUCGAUUGACCUUUGAUUUUUUUUCCCUUUUCUUCUCCUUUUUGGAUGAGUUUGGUUGUCUUUUGUUGAGUUACAAACUCAUGUACAUAACAUAAACAAAGCAGGUGCCACAUUUCCGGCACCCAGGGACAUGAUAGCCAAUAGAUAUGCCACCCACAGAGAAAAAACAAAGUGAAAAAUGGAACGGAUGCCUUUCAGUGUGCCUGAUGCUGUAAUUCGGACACAAAGCCACGAUUCCUCUCAGUUUAUCUGAAUGAUGUAUUCAUUUCAGGGGUAACAAGAUUGUCAUACAACAUUACAAUAACCUUAAAACUCAAGGUUCAAGGUUGUCCGUAGAUCAAUUGCUUGGAAACCAAAAAUAGAUUAACAACACUACAGAAGGUUGCCAAAUCCAUCGUCCUGGAAAAGAAAAACUAGGAAACAAAGCUGGAAAACUGCCGUGGGGGAACACUAUCUCCCACACCGGCACAGCUAUCUCCCAACAUCUCUUCUACUUCUCAUCUAACCUCAGUCUUCCUACACAAACCUAAAAGGGAACAACAUAUGGCAACUGAUACAUAUGAAGGUCAGGCAGAUGAAUAGCCCUUGGUUGCCAUGAAAACUCCACCUCCAUGGGCGCCAAACCAUCACUUGCCUUGCAGCUGCUGUUGCUGGCAUCAGGUUUCUUUGCACCGCCGAGCAACCAAUCCUGGUCGCCGAGAUUCCCGGUCUCCUCAACCUCCAAGGAAGGUGGAUUCCAGGUAACAAAAAGAUCUCGGAAUUUCCUCUCUUUCUUCUCUUCCUUCUCAGCCUUGCGGCUCUUCUUACGAUCAGACUUUGACUGCUUAACCUCUGGUAUUUUUUCAGUCUUCCUGCCAGAGGAACAAGGCUCUUCUUUCGCCAAGGUGCUUGACUGCUGCUGUUUGAUGAGGGGAGAGACUACAGGCACCUUCGGUUUGUGCAGAACGGGCUGCAGCUGCCUGUCUGGCUGGUGGGAAGAAGCAACUUUUAUUGUUUCCUUCGGCAACACAGGCAAACUCUGUGGAGGAGCAUCUCUUCGGAGCACCUUGGAUGGCACCAGAGGAUCAACCUUUUGCAGCGCCUUUGCAGGAGGAAUGUCAAUAACCUUGGCAGGAGGAAUGUCGACUCUCUGUGCCGCCUUGGCAGGAGGAAUGUCGACUCUCUGUGCCACCUUAGCAGGUGGAGGAACAACUCGUCGUGUCAGCUGCGUAGGCAAAGGAUCAGCACUUCCUUUCACCUUGGCAGAUGAAGGUGUAGCAUUAACGGGCACCCAGGAAUCUAUCUUUUGCAUGAUCUUUGCUGAGGUUGGGGCAUCUAUCUUUGGUGUGAUCUUCGCUGUGGUUGGGGGAUCCACCUUUGGAGCAAUAUUUGUCAUGGAAGGAACUCUUUGCAAGAUCAUUGCAGGGGGUUUUACAUCCAUUUGUUUUGGCACAGAUUGGGUAUCCCUCUUGAUGCUUUGCUGGAAACCGGCAGCUGACUUUACCAUAACAUCCCUGCGAGGUUGAACUGCAUUCUGCUUACUCAACAAGGAUGAAGGUGUAGCCAUUUGUUGGACAGGUUGUUGCGGAAGAACCCUAGAACCAUCCAACAUGGCUGACGGUGAAUCCUGAUCUCUUUUUAUCUUAAUGCGAAGUACCGUCCCUGCAAAAUCAUAAUUCAUGGUCAGUAACUCUAGAAGAGAAUGAUUACUAAAAUCAACAGAAACCUAAAAAUAUGGCCUGAAAGCCUCACCAUUCUUAUUUUGACUAGGGCCUGGGAGCACCACCUUUCUUCGCUUACUGCUGUCCUGAGAGCUCUCUGGUGAUCCAUGUACUGUCUGAAUGAAAGAAGGGGCCCCAUACUCUUCUGAGAGUCCACUCUUCUCCAACUGAUCAAAUAGUUCUUUGGGUGCAGUUUUGGACUCCAGGCCGGCUAUGCUGGUAUCUUCAUGCUUUCUCUUCUUAUGGCUACGUUUUGAAUGUUUUGUCUCACCACCACCCUGAUGGGAAGCUUUCUUGUCAUUCCUUUUCUCUUUCUUCUUUUCGGCCCUUUCCCUUUCUUUCUGGAGCUUCAGCCACCAGAUUAAUCGUCAGUUCUGAUUUAGAACAGACGAUGGCAAUGCAAUGCAGCAUAUUGCAGUAUGGUAAUGAAGUUUCAAACUUACACAAGCACACACAUAAAUAAUGCAGCACUAACACAGAAGUGCUACAAGUUACAGUUAGAAAUUAAUACAUGAAUCUUUCCACAAAUAAUAAUUCAGUACCCUUGAUAUAUACUCUGUAUAUUCUUUACACAGUUAUAGUAGAGUCAAAGGAAUUAGAGCACAUCAAAAUUGGCACAACUACUAAUGACACUACCCAGAAGACGUGUUAGCAAGCAGAGAACAGUUGACAGAAAACAUAGCAAUUGUGCUGCAAGGAAGUCAAUUUUAAGACAUCAAAUUCCAGAGCAGAGACAGCAAAAUAGACCACAAAGAAAACUUUAGACAAGAAUACAUGUACAACUCAAAUGGCAAGUGUCAAGAUUGUGAGACUACACACACAUGAACAAAAACAAACAAGAUAGCAAACAGGACAAGGCAAGUAGCGCCAAUAGAACCACACAUAAGUGACAUCACAAAGUGAGCACACUAAUUGGUGGUUAAUUGGUGCUGGUAACCGAAUCCAAGCAAGAGAAAGCCCAGGAAAAUAUGAAUUUUCUCAUUGCUAAAUUUGGACGGAUCUCCGGAAGUACUUUUCACAGAGAAUUUAGUCUCAAAACUAGCAAUGCGAUUGACAAAUCAAGACAUCAUGGGCGUCAAUCUGGGUACAGAAUCAAUCAAUCAAAUACUGUAGGCAUGUAACAAUGAAACUGGAAGGCGCAUCUGACAGACCACGUUUUGUUCGCAUUCAGGUUAUUUCCAAUUUAAGCACGCAAUCGAGGUUAGCAGGCUCGAGAUCGGGCCGCGGGGUUAGGUCAGCAGAAACAGGCAAUCGAUCUAACCGACGCAUCGGCGGCAAGGCUAGCCUCCCCCCGCAUGCGAUUCCCAAAUCGCACGCGCACACCCAACAGAUCUGAUCGGAACCAACAGGCAAGAACACAUGAUCCGAGGACGUGCGUGUUGUAAAUCCGAUGGUUCAACAAACCUUAGCGGUCGUCUCCGCCACGGGAACGGGGGGCACGGCCACUGGGUUUCGCACGUAGCCCGGCGGCGGGUAGGGGAAGCACCUCGACAUGGCGGCCGGUGUGAAUCCCGCGGCGCGGCGCGCGAACCCUCGGAAUCAAGAGCGCGACGGCAAGGCCCGCCCUAAUCGACCGCGAACCGAAGGGAAAUUUCGAUUCGCGGGAGGGAAAUCCGGCGGAGCGGAUUGGGGCCUCUCGGCGGGAGGGAUUUGGCUCUUGUGUGGCGGCUAGGGUUUCACGGGGAGGAGAGGGGAAAUUUUAGCGGCGGCUACGCGAGAUGGGAACGGAAGAAAAGGGUAGCCUCUUCGAGGGUCCGGGGGUUGGGCGGUAUAUAUAGCCGGACGGGAGGUGCCCGAGUCGUGCGGGGAACUGGCGGGUCCGCCUCGCCUACCUAUCGGGCCUCUACACGGAGUCGCUGACGGGUAGGGCCCAGAUCCCGCGGGGCCCGGUGGCAGCGAGGGGCGCGGGCGGGGGCCGCCGCGCGGCGAUGCGUGUGGGGCACGGCAAGCGGCGCGCUCUGAUUGGCCAGGCCGCGCGGUGGCCCACCUAGCGGGGAGCGAGCGGGGGUGGCGUGUUCGCGUUGCACACGAAACGUGUUCGCGUGGUGGGCCCCCCCGCGGCGCGGAACCGACCUAGAAGGUUAUAUAGAUGGUUAAAAUUAUCAGAUUCACUGCCUACUUAUGUUAAAUUCAUGCAUGGUAAAAUUGCCAUGAAAAUAUAGAGGGUUAAAAUUUGUAGAAAAUUUUCCAUGAUUUGGACCAUAAUAACAAAAGAAAAAAAGCCUAUGUGUGGUACGAAACUUCAUAUUUAAAAUUGAGCUAUCACGCUUUAGGUCAUUAGAUAUUAGAUAGAAAAAACAAAGAGUCUCUCUAGAGCACAUAUAGAUGUGCCCUAGUUAUUGCACAUCUAAGUGACUAAAUCGAGCGCAAAAAAAAAAGAAAAGGAAAAAGUUACCCACAUGAAUCUCCGCGUAAGAUCAAUGACAUAGAAUUUAGAUGUGCAAUACUUAUGGCACAUCUAUAUGUGCUUUAGCAAAACUGAAAAAGAAAAUCCAAAAAAAAGUUUUAAGUUAGCAUAACAGUGGGGUAUGUUUGACCAUAAGUUUGCUUUAUAUAAAUGGCAUGCAUGAGAAACUAAAUAUGGCAUAUGUUAAAACAUGAAAAGAAAAUUAACGAUUAUGUUUCAACCUAAAUUGUCAUUGUUUUGUAAAGAUGAUGGCCAAAAAUUGAAUUUUUUUUUAUGAAAAUAGUCUCAUGAAACAAUUUUGCCAUGUGGAUAUUCAAAAAAUAAAUUUGCCACGGUGUAAAUAAUUGAAUUUACAAUGGUUUGUGCAACAUUUUUUCCAUGUUCUGAAAAUAUAAUUGACCAUGGUCCAAAAUAUGAAUUUUCUAUGGUACCAAAAAUAAAUUUGCCAUGGCCAAAUAUAUAAGUUUUCCAUGACAGAGAACAAAAAGCAAUUUGUUGUGGUCCAAAAAAGAAUUGUCGUCGAUUGUUUGAUAUAAUUUUCAUGUAUUGUUAGAAAACAUGAUAGAGGAAAUUUUACAACACAUUGUUUGAUAAAUUUGCCGUGCUUCAAAAAGAAAAUUAUAAAAUGGUUAAAAAGCUUAAUUUGUCGUGGUUCAUAAAGUAUAUUUGCCAUCGACUGUAAACUAAAUUUGCCACAGUCUAUAAAGUGAACUUGCCAUGGUGCAAAAAAAAUUGACAUGGUCCAAAAUAUCAUGACAAAUUUGAUUGCCAUGGUACACAAGUUUGCUGUUAGAACUCCAGAAUCUGGGGUCCACUAGUUUACAAAAUGUAGUUGCCAUGUGGCAUAAGAAACAUUUUUCAAAGUUGCCAUGCGUGUGGAACAAAAAAUUCAUAUAGCUGCCAUGUGAGCAUUAACAUAUUUUUCUGAAAUUUGCCAUGAGUGGGAACAAAAAAAAUCCUAGAAUUGUCAUGUGAUAUUUAAAAAUACUUUCUAAAAUUGUUGUGUUUUGGAAAAAAAAAGAUGUUUCAAAAUUGUGACGUGACCAUAAGAAACCUUUUCUUUUGGCCAUUUGUGGAGAGCAAAAAAUCCUAGAGUUGUCUUGCAAGCGCUAAAAUUUCCUACGUUUGUCAUGUGACUCUUAGCAACAUUUCCUGGAAUUGUCAUGUCUUGCACACCAAAUAAGCGAAAAUUGCCAUGUAAAACAAGUUUUUUUGCCUUGUGAAACAUUACCAUAAUGUGUAAAUUUUGUGAUAGCGGCUAAGGUGUCCCGCCUUCCGAGCAGAUGGUGGCUAUAGUUUUUGGAGUAGACUUUGACGAUCCGAGUACGAUCGUGCGAGGACGUCGCGCCUUAGCAAUCGCUAAACCAACUUCAAGAGGUUAUUGACCACGCCAGAGCACAAUCAAUCUGAUCAACUCCGAGAGGUGUCCCGCCUUCCGAGCAGAUGGUGGCUAUAGUUUUUGGUAGAGUAGACUGACGAUCCGAGUACGAUCGCGCGAGGACGUCGCGCCUUAGCAAUCACUAAACCAACUCCGAGAGGUUAUUGAUCACGCCAGAGCACAAUCAACCUGAUCACGAGGGUCUGUUUCCUGCACGCAAACGAAGAACAAACAAGAAACUAGAAUUGCAAUCUGGAUAUUGCGAAUAUAAAUGAACACUUUAUUAAUGAAGGUGGGGUUUUGUGACGUCUUUGUUUGGUCGUUGAACACAAACAAAGUACGCGAAGUUGCAGCUAUGGUGAACUUUUAAUCUAAACAAAACCCAAAGUCCAAACGAUGCACUAAGUGUUGUAUAUAUGGAGGAAUAGGGGGAAUUUCAUGACCCCUUGGAGGAGGGGUCCGAAACCAACCCUAACUCCGUUUCCCCAUGCAUACGGACUCUAAUAAUAGCCUAUAGUGAAGUAUUUUAAAAUUACAUGGGCAUGUCCCAAUAAUAAGGUGACACAACACCUAUAAUAGCCUUUGGAUGAAAUUUAUGAAAUGACAUCUUGUAUAUUUUGUCCAAUCCUUCAUGCACUCAUUAUGGUGGCUUCAAAGUCCUGAAAUCAUCACUUGAAACUCCAUUCUUGUUCCCCUUGCGCAUGCCAUUAUCUCCAUGCUUGAUCUUGCUCCAAUGUUCAUCCUUCUUGUCCAAGCUAGGCCCUUCAUUUGUAAACAAAACAAAUGUAUCCAAUUUAGCCAGCAUCAUAUUCUCACGAACAUUAGAACUGUUAUCAAGAAAUGAAAGUACCCGGUAAUUUAAUUGGCGUGCGCGAGCUUUAGUAAUUGGUCUGGUAUGUAUAGUGAGUGUAACGAUGGUAUUGAUGUCUCCAUCAAUUUGUCAUGUGACAUGCUUUCGAAUUUCAUCAACUUUGCCAGGUAGACAUUACAGAAACCUAUGGACUUCCCAUGUACCUAGCACAAAAAUACCAUGGCAUGUAGAAAAACCCACAGAGAAUUUGCCAUGAGAAUAGUAAUGUUUACUUGUAAUCACAGAAGGAAUUUGCCAUGGCAAAAUGUUUUCACACACACACACACACACACACACGCACGCACACGCGCACGCGCGCGCGCACACACACACACACACCGUGUAUGGAGGAGGGCAAGUGAGAUGGAAGGACACUCACUGUCGCAGUUGUGGUAGGCCUCACACCGACGAACUAGCCGGUGAUGCUCAAUCGGCGUGCACACCACACAACGGUGUCUUGUGCUCCUUCGUGAGGAAGGAAACCACAUCAGGGAGAGGGAAGAAGAGCGAAUCGUCGAAACCAAACCAAGGGCAAGCGCGGGGCAGCCACAUAGAGAGGAGAAGAAAGGCAAGAGAGGGAAAGGGGACCUUGACGUCGACUCCUAGAUUUCUUUGAUCUCGUGCAUUUGCAACGUGGUGCUUGUAAUUUUCCCAAGAGGUUGCUAUGGCUUGGAGGCUCAUCAGGUCUAACGGACUUUCGUCCUUCUGCUAUGGCUUGGAGGCUCAUCAGGUCUAACGGACUUUCGUCCUUCGACUCCUAUAGGCGGCUUUCGCUAUCGCUCCUGACUUAGUAUAGAAACCGGUAUAAAAGACAAGUGCCCAUCCUCAACUCCAAGAAAUGGGAGUGAAAUUCAUUCCAUUCCGUAUAAGUAAGUUGAUAUGAUAGGCUUUUCGGCACCAUCCUAUGAAAGGCUCUCACCUAGCAGGCCUCUUUGACCCAUGGCGUUGGCAGAGGAGCACGGACCAGGAACCGCACAUUCGUGUCGUCGUCGACCAACGUGGCGGUAUUUUCAGGGUCGUCGCCGCCACCGAAUAGGUCCUCCUUGCCGUCGUCGACUUCCAGGCCAACAUUCUCAAUGAAGUUCGACAACUGAGUUGGAAGUGGGGGGUUAGGACGCUAGGGGGGCGGCAAAAGUACUGACCUCAUUGUCAAUAGGCAAGAAAGAAAACAUUUCAAAGAUAUAAAUCUAUUUUUUGAAAAUAUAAAGGUUUUGGGGGUCUGCUAGAUGAGCUAAAUUCCCCAAACCAAAAACAUUCCCCCAUUUAUUAUAGUCAUAAGCACGGGUCUGCUUCAUUUCUCUGAAAUCGAAGAGCAAUCCAUAACCAUCCAUGGGACGUCAUUACAGCCAUUACUCAUAAUACAGACCAACAGAAGUUGUUGGCUAACUAAACAGCUGAUCAUAUUCCUUCAGGAUGAGAGCAAACCAAAACGGUAUGAACCUACAAGGAAAUAGGAACAAGUUCCAAUUCACAGGUUAUAGAAUCCAAAUAAGACACUUCUGGAUUUGACAGACAGCAAUAGCAAAGCUGCAGAUUAUAGCAGAUAGACUGAGCAGAACAAGCACAAAGAUAACCCACGACAUGAGCAAUCGCACACAAGCAGCUAGUAGUUCCCAAUUCUCAAACUCAUAAACCAUUACCCGUUACAACAUUUGUUGAGUCUAGGGAGAAAUUCAACUGCCAUGACACAUGUGUCUUAUGGAUUACACAAGUCACAAAUAUAAGAAGACGACAUAAUGGCAGCAUGAUUUAACAUAACAGUCUUGCAAAAUAUAGCUGAAAAAACACAAAGACCUAGUAGACAAGACACCAUCACCAGUCCAAGCCUCUGAAAAACUGUGUCGCAGAGGCCCAUCACACUGAAAGGUCUUGAUAAAUCAUAUGAGAAGCUUCUCGAUAGCAUCCUGUGAUUCACAAAAUUUAAAACAGGGUCAAUUUUCGGAGAAAG
Molecule: long non-coding RNA, 14576 nt
Filed under: Triticum aestivum (bread wheat)
Lineage: Eukaryota; Viridiplantae; Streptophyta; Magnoliopsida; Poales; Poaceae
Description: long non-coding RNA (TAES_LNC001176)
Source: RNAcentral